This 923-nucleotide unclassified non-coding RNA is filed under the name Hevea brasiliensis (rubber tree). The record is from RNAcentral. Lineage: Eukaryota; Viridiplantae; Streptophyta; Magnoliopsida; Malpighiales; Euphorbiaceae.
GUGCAAGGCAGUUUGGCUCAUCUCCUCUAGUGGAAGAUCACAUCUGCCUUCAAUGUCAUGUGAUAGAAUAUUACUGAUGUUAUAUUCUUCCUUUGAAUUGCUUUGUUGGUUCAGGCGUUUCUUUUUAAUAGGAACCCCCUACACGCACACACUGGGCAUCUCUGUCUUAUAUAGUGUUUGUUGUGCAUUUCUGCAGCUUGCAUUAGGCAAAAUAUCUACUAUUAGAUUAGGUGAUAGGACUUUUCCUUGAUUCUGGCAAUCGGCACGGCUUUUCUUCGUGAGAUUGGACUUUAGGUAGGAUAUGUGUUGGCUUUUUGGGUCAGGACGAUAAGUUCACCUGUCCUGAAAAGUAUUGCUAGUGACGCAAAUUGAGAGUUGUCAAAAAUCAAAUGUAUUUUUGAAGAAAUGGAUUUUGUUGGGUGAACAUAGGUACUCAGAUUUUGGCCUCCAAAAUUUUUCCCUAUCAAACAAGAAGAGCUCAAAAUUUUCAAAGUACAGAACAAGUCUAAACACAACUUGCUAGGAAAAUUAGUUCUGCUUGCUUUGACGAAUUGAGCAUGCAAAAUGAGUUCUACAGAAAUGAAAACUUGAGUUGUUAAAUCUAGAAAAUAAAAGAGCUAAAAAGAAUUAACAUUGGAAACCUAACACUGAUCAGUGGUUCACGGUAUUGGCAACCUUUUACCAACAUUAAUGACUUGUGAAAAUUGAUGUCUUUCUUGAUUUCUUUUGGUUUGUCUUAUAGGGUGCUAGAAUAAGUUAGGAUAAUCUGCUUUACAGUCCAUCUGCCUGAAAUCUUCCUGGAUCUUAUUAGUAACUGACCGUGAUUGUGUCCAGGAGACACUAAGAGUUACAAUAAGAGGCAAAUGUGAAAGCAUUAUUUGUGUGUUUAAAUCUGGUACUUUAAUAUUUAAGCUAAUGAUAUG